Paramuricea clavata is the source of this 81-nucleotide non-coding RNA. Lineage: Eukaryota; Metazoa; Cnidaria; Anthozoa; Malacalcyonacea; Plexauridae. The record is from the annotation of a GenBank genome assembly.
AUUCCUAUAGGAUCCUAUAGGAAUUCCUAUAGGAAUUCCUAUAGGAUCCUAUAGGAAUUCCUAUAGGAUCCUAUAGGAAUU